RNAcentral lists this ribosomal RNA (498 nucleotides) under Triticum aestivum (bread wheat). RNAcentral describes it as "partial small subunit ribosomal RNA". The record is from RNAcentral. Lineage: Eukaryota; Viridiplantae; Streptophyta; Magnoliopsida; Poales; Poaceae.
AUGGACGCCGAGCUGCGGGACCUGCACCACGACCUCGCCACGCUGCUCGACCUCCUGCCCGUCGUCGAGCUCGGCCUCGCCGACGACGUCAUGGACCUCCUCGCCCUCGCCUCGCGCCAGUGCCGCCGUUGCGCGUCGGCCGCCGAGCCGGAGCCGGUGCUCAAGACCACCGUGCUGUCGCUGAUCGAGGAAAUCGAGCGGGAGAUCGCGCCCGAGCGGGAGAGGCUGGAGGAGAUCCUGGAGGAGGUUGGCAUCAACGACCCGGCCAGCUGCAGCGACGAGAUCGAGAGCCUCGAGCGGGACAUCGGCGACCGAGCAUCGGAGAGAUGGACUGCCGCCAUGAUCGCCCUCGUCGGCCUGCUCCGGUACGCCAAGUGUGUCCUGUUCAGUGCCACGCCCCGGCCUUUUCGGAUUCCAAGGCGGACAUCGAUGUCGAAGAUGACGGGGAGUCACCGGCGCCCCCACCGGACCUCCGAUGCCCCAUCUCCCUCGAUCUAA